Molecule: ribosomal RNA, 277 nt
Filed under: uncultured prokaryote
Description: partial 16S ribosomal RNA
Rfam family: Bacterial small subunit ribosomal RNA
Source: RNAcentral
UACGUAGGGAGCAAGCGUUGUCCGGAAUUACUGGGCGUAAAGGGCGCGUAGGCGGGAUCUUAAGUCAGGUGUGAAAACUCCGGGCUCAACCUGGAGAUUGCACUUGAAACUGAGAUUCUUGAGGACAGGAGAGGGAAGUGGAAUUCCUAGUGUAGCGGUGAAAUGCGUAGAUAUUAGGAGGAACACCAGUGGCGAAGGCGACUUCCUGGACUGCACCUGACGCUGAGGCGCGAAAGCGUGGGUAGCGAACGGGAUUAGAUACCCGGGUAGUCCCUGA